GCGAGCGACGCCAGCGCCUCCACCCCUGUCGUGGUAACGCUCUUGUACGCCCAUUUGGCCCGUGUAGACGUCGUUUAUGAAAUUGUUUUCCAAUCUCCCACGCCUGAAUCCUAGGAAUGGCUAGAGAAUACGACCAUUUAUUCAAAUUACUAAUAAUCGGAGACAGCGGAGUUGGAAAGAGCAGCUUGUUGCUGAGGUUUGCUGACAACACUUUUACGGGCAACUACAUCACAACCAUCGGGGUAGACUUCAAGAUCCGCACACUCGAAGUGGAUGGCGAGCGAGUCAAGCUGCAGAUCUGGGACACAGCUGGUCAGGAGCGGUUUCGCACCAUCACAUCGACGUAUUACCGAGGUACCCAUGGUGUGGUCGUGGUCUAUGAUGUCACAAAUGGGGAGUCCUUUGCCAAUGUCAAACGCUGGCUUCAUGAGAUUGAGCAGAACUGCGAUGUCGUCAAUAGGAUCUUAGUGGGCAACAAAAAUGAUGACCCAAGUAGGAAAGUAGUGCUAACAGAGGACGCACAGCGUUUUGCUGACCAGAUGGGCAUACAGCUAUUUGAGACAAGCGCCAAGGAGAACAUCAAUGUCGAAGAGAUGUUCAAUGCCAUUACACGGAUGGUGCUCAAGAGCAAGAAGGAGCAGAAGGAGCGGCAGCAGGUGCCCGAGGACAAGCUGCGGUUAAAGCCCGGUGGCCACAAGAAGAAGAAGCAGUGCUGCUGAUUGGCGGCGGCCCUUCCCCCACCACCACCAGCACCCUUCCGUGCAGCUCUGGUUGCCGGAAGACCUGUACAUUUGAAUGGGAUCGGGAGGAAGAGGACAUGGCUCAUUCCCUCUGAGGGGGGAGUGUGCAGCGUCUGCCAAGAGCUGCCAGUGCGAAGAAACUCUCGUCGCCGCCAUUCGCUUUUGCCCUCUUUCUUCCUCCUCCGUCUGCUCGUCCUCUGUCUAUGCCCAUUGCUCACCGCAUCGCGGUACUUCAAGGCAUCGCCAGUGUUGAAGAGGUGGGGACUGCAGUGUGCACCAUGCAGCGAAUUUUCUCUCUUUUUUUUAUGUUUGCCCGUCUAGCCUCGCUAGUGUAGUGAUCUGUACAACAGCGUGCACCUUGCCCUCCAGUCCUGGUUUUUGCUGCUGCUGUCAAAGCAAGCGUUGCUCUAGCCAUGACCUGUCUGUGCGAAUGUUUGUUGAUAAGCGUGGCCGCGAACGACGCCCUCUGAGCUACAGCCACAAGCGGAUCAGUGCUGUCUGCAGAAGGACGUGCAGCUUGGUUCACUGUAAAUAUGAUGAAGAGGGAAGUGCAGCCAGGCUUUGGCAGGCAACCGUGCACAUCCCGAAGGAGCAUGUAGGGGUGGGCCUGGUGGUGGAUGUUUGUGAGCAGAUUGGGGUGUGCUUCACUGUGAUGCAGUGCUGAGCAAGUGUUUGUACGCGGAAGAUGUUGUGCCGAGGUAUUAGGUCUGCACUGGCGAAAUGUGGUAACACGGUUGGACAGCACGGCUGCUCAGUGGAGCACGCGAGGCCAUGUCUGUCGCUCGUCCUUUUUAUGUCUUUGCAAAAGCCUGUGCACUUGCAUCUCCGCCCGGUCAGUCAGGUGGGAAAGCAAGCAUGCAAUUCUCAUGUCUCUGCCCUGUUCUGUCAAUAUAUAUAUAUACAUAUAUAAGUUUUUUUUUUUUAAGCUUCACUCGAUAGCAAUGUUGCUCCAUUAUCUUUGUUGCCCUUUAUUAUGCCGGUGUGCUCAUUGCAGCUAUUUAAAAAUUAGUGCUGCAGUUCAAAAUGUAGUGAAUUAAGGGAGAGAUUUCCAGGUAGGCAUUGUAGCAGACAGCUUCUUAAAGCUGUGGGGCCAGCAGGGAAGAGACUAUCACCAUUUUUGUUCGGAUCAGUCUUAGUCACCGAAUUUUCGCAUGCAUAGCAUGAGCUUUUCUUUCCCGCACAUGUGACUCUUGUUUUUGAAGUGCAGAAUGUGUCAUCUUUCUUGCUCUUUUUCUUCCUCCACUGUGCUUUAUCACAACCAUCACUUGCAUCAUAUAUUGUUGUUAGUAUCACUGGAUGUAAAUUGCCUUUCAAAUACUGCUGUGUUGCUGCAGAAGCAUAUAUAUCGUUUAUUGGUUAUAUAAAUACAGAUUGCUGUGGUAUGAUUUGCAUUGCUUAAGCACUUGGCAAUGCAGAGUUUUAAUUGUGUCAUGCUGCCAGAGAAAUAUCACCAUCCUAUGUGCCACUCUGCAAGGCACAUAGCUCCCUACAGAGCAGUGUACACUGCAUACUCUCCCCUUGUGUCUCUCUCUUCUCUUUUUGCGGGCAGAGUAAUCUUUUGAUGAGUAUUUCUUACGUCUCUGCUGUGUCUCCUGGUUCAUGCAGGUCACACUGGUCACUUGAGCUGCAUAGCACAUUUGCAAGGCAUUUCACUGUGCUAGCAAAGUGCAGCAGGAUGUACCAUAAAACUAGUUUGUAACGAGUAUGUUUUCAUUGUGAUUUUUUUUUUAGCAUGUUGUUUUCUUAGUUCUAGCCGGUUCACUUGGGAUAUGAUGGACGGAGGCCACAGGCCUGUUGUAUGCGCAGUUUUACUCAUCUUUGCACGGCCUCUCAUGUAAGGAAGGUACCUGAGUUGCGCCUGGAUUUGGUCAAAUUUAUAGUCUUAAGCAUUUUUUUUUCUUUCUUUUUCCUUUUUUUUUUCUGCAAUUGGUUAUGACUCAAAGGAGCUUGCACCACGAUUGUGACUGUGUUUGUUGUUGAAUUUGUGGGUUAUGGUAAAUACUUCUGGGUCAUCGUGUGAAGCGAAAACACAAGAAAAUGUGCCCGCACUGCAUUUUAUAAAGUGUGUAGUCUGCCCUUUUUUUUUUCUUUUUUGCGGACAAGAGGAAGAAAAAGAAAAAGGUGGUAUUGCUCUGGGCACUUUACAAAGUGCUGUGUGCAUCCCGGCAAAAUAGUGUGCGCACCGCUGCGCGAAGAACAUUGAAAGUAAAAAAAUAAAGAAAACAAUGCGUACAUUGAAUUUUACAGUGAAAAAUAAACAUAUUGAAUGAUA
RNAcentral lists this unclassified non-coding RNA (3012 nucleotides) under Dermacentor andersoni. RNAcentral describes it as "ras-related protein Rab-35-like". The record is from RNAcentral. Lineage: Eukaryota; Metazoa; Arthropoda; Arachnida; Ixodida; Ixodidae.